RNAcentral lists this ribosomal RNA (301 nucleotides) under uncultured bacterium. RNAcentral describes it as "partial 16S ribosomal RNA". It matches the Rfam family "Bacterial small subunit ribosomal RNA", at positions 509 to 809 of the family's 1533-position model. The record is from RNAcentral.
CAGUAGCCGCGGGAAAACGAAGGGGGCUAGCGUUGCUCGGAAUUACUGGGCGUAAAGGGAGCGUAGGCGGACAUUUAAGUCAGGGGUGAAAUCCCAGAGCUCAACUCUGGAACUGCCUUUGAUACUGGGUGUCUUGAGUGUGAUAGAGGUAUGUGGAACUCCGAGUGUAGAGGUGAAAUUCGUAGAUAUUCGGAAGAACACCAGUGGCGAAGGCGACAUACUGGAUCAUUACUGACGCUGAGGCUCGAAAGCGUGGGGAGCAAACAGGAUUAGAUACCCGUGUAGUCCCUGUCUCUUAUAA